RNAcentral lists this ribosomal RNA (215 nucleotides) under uncultured bacterium. RNAcentral describes it as "partial 16S ribosomal RNA". It matches the Rfam family "Bacterial small subunit ribosomal RNA", at positions 134 to 334 of the family's 1533-position model. The record is from RNAcentral.
UAGGCGGAGAUAACACUACCGGAAAGGAGUGCUAAUACUGCAUGUAGACCCAGAGCUCCGGCUCCAGGUCGAAAAGAGGCGCCCGCAAGGGGCUCUCACUAGAGGUUGAGUCCGCGGCCCAUCAGCUUGUUGGCGGGGUAAUGGCCCACCAAGGCAAAGACGGGUAGCUGGUCUGAGAGGAUGAUCAGCCACACUGGGACUGAGACACGGCCCAG